UCCACCAAGCCAAAAGACCCCUUCUCUCCUUCCUCAAACCCAAGUUCUUCCCCAAAAACUCUUCUCCCACCAUCUCUCAUUCUCAAAAUCGCCCUCUUGGAACCAAGCUCCUCCCUUUUCUUCUUCGUCAUUUGGAGCGAGUAGAGCUUGCCCUAGACUCUACCCGUCUUCUCCAAAUCGGCACUUCUCCUCUCCAAAAUCCUUUUCCUUCCCC
RNAcentral lists this long non-coding RNA (214 nucleotides) under Elaeis guineensis (African oil palm). RNAcentral's name for it is "long non-coding RNA (EGUI_LNC019986)". Lineage: Eukaryota; Viridiplantae; Streptophyta; Magnoliopsida; Arecales; Arecaceae. The record is from RNAcentral.